CUCAAUUUUUAAUAUCAAAUCAAAUGUAGCUACAUGUACAUGUAUCACAUAUUUUGUAUUGAUAUGUACGUUUAUGUAUGGCCAAUAAUAGCCGGAAGUCCCCCUGGCUUGGUAUGGGAGUUUAGGGCUGAUACCAGCGCCAAUAUGGAAAAUACCGUGUAAUAAACUAUAAGUAUUAUCAUGUUUUAAAAUGACAAUCUAUAAGACUGACUGAAAAUAUCAAUGAUCAUAAUGUAUAUUAUAUUAUGUCAAUUCAGGUUACACUUAAAUUUAAUAAAUUAUUUAUUCAUUCAUUUAUUCAUAUAGUUUUACAUGAACGAAAUAUCUCCAGAAAAUUUUACAUA
RNAcentral lists this long non-coding RNA (344 nucleotides) under Mytilus galloprovincialis (Mediterranean mussel). Lineage: Eukaryota; Metazoa; Mollusca; Bivalvia; Mytilida; Mytilidae. The record is from RNAcentral.